AUGGCUCACGUUCUCGCUACGGCACAGCCCCUCGCCCUCCUCAAGCGGCCACCAUCACCAAAGGCCAGCUUCGUCGAUGGCAACGACAAGGCACGCAAGGCCCGUCACGGGGAGUCCGAGUCGGACCCGGCGGUGGGUCUAGCCGUGGCGCGUCACGAGUUCGGCGAGUAUGGCGGCGUGAACAUGUCCAUUGAGGCCUCAGCCACGUUCACAGUCAUGGAGCCGGAGAUCCUGCGCCGGCUCUUCACAGGGGAGCUAGGCCCGGAACGCGACCAACUGUACAUCUACAGCCGCCACUUCAAUCCGACGGUGCUAGCUCUGGGGCGGCAGAUGGCGGCCUUGGAGGGGACCGAGGCCGCCUACUGCACGGCGUCCGGCAUGUCGGCCAUCUCGUCCGUGCUGAUGCAGCUGGUGGGCGCUGGCGGGCACGUGGUGGCAUCGCGGUGUUUGUACGGAGGAACCCAUGCCCUGCUGUCCCAAUUCCUGCCGCGCACCUCUGGCGUGCACACGACGUUCGUGGACAUGGACGACGAGGAGGCCGUACGCUCGGCCAUGAAGCCAGGGGAGACGCGGGUGGUGUUCGUGGAGACUAUGUCGAACCCAACACUUGCCGUUGCCGACAUCCCGAUGUUGGCGCGUUUGGCGUGCGAGGCCGGGGCCAAGCUGGUGGUGGACAACACCUUCACCCCAGUCGUCGUCUCGCCCGCGCGGCUAGGCGCUGACGUCGUCGUCCACAGCAUGUCAAAGUUCAUCAGCGGAUGCGCCGAUAUAAUCGCCGGUGCGAUCUGCGGUCCGGCGAGCCUGGUGAAAGCGAUGAUGGACCUGCAGGACGGUGCACUGAUGCUCCUGGGCCCCACAAUGAACGCAAAGGUGGCGUCCGAGCUUGCCGGGCGUCUUCCUCACCUGCCGCUACGAAUGCAGGAGCACUCGCGCCGCGCCGCCGAGUUCGCCACCCGGAUGCGCCUCCUGGGCCUCCAGGUUACGUACCCUGGCCUUCCGGACCACCCACACCACGACCGGCUAUCCGCCAUGGGCAACCCGUGUUACGGCGCCGGCGGGAUGCUGUGCGUGGACAUGGGCACCGAAGAGCGGGCCAAUAGCCUCAUGUACCACCUCCAGAACACCACCCACUUCGGCCUCAUGGCCGUCAGCCUCGGCUACUACCAGACGCUCAUGUCUUGCUCCGGGAACAGCACCAGCAGUGAGAUGGCGCCCGACGACCGCGCCCGCGCCGGCAUCUCCCCGGGCCUCAUCCGCAUGUCCAUUGGGUACAAUGGCACCCUGGACCAGCGCUGGGCGCAAUUCGAGAGCGCCGUCACCCUUAUGAAACAGGAGACUACCAGCGCUUCCGCAAGCAAGCUCAUCUGA
RNAcentral lists this ribosomal RNA (1368 nucleotides) under Triticum aestivum (bread wheat). RNAcentral's name for it is "partial small subunit ribosomal RNA". Lineage: Eukaryota; Viridiplantae; Streptophyta; Magnoliopsida; Poales; Poaceae. The record is from RNAcentral.